Non-coding RNA from Delphinapterus leucas (beluga whale), 1918 nucleotides. NCBI's taxonomy places the organism in Eukaryota, Metazoa, Chordata, Mammalia, Artiodactyla, Monodontidae. The record is from RefSeq and is a predicted model, not a curated record.
ACAGGAGAGGAAAGACCACGCAGACACUAAGCGUCUGCCAGGAGGUCAGCCCCGCACGGGGCUGGGCGGGCUCGGGGCGUGGGGGCUGCAGGCGGAGCCCCGGCGCGCCCAGCGCCCGCAGGCGCGGGAGAGGCAACCCCGGCCAGGGCCUUCCCGCAGCUCCUCGGGCUGCCUCGGCCGCAGCCGCCAGGGGCAGCAGGGCACUCGCGCGGCCGGGCCACCACGGCCAUCCCAGUCACCCCAGGCUCCCGCGUGUCCAGGCCGCGCCUCCCCCCCGCCCGCGGACCUGGCGACGUCACUGCGGCUCUGACGCGCGCUAAUGGAGGCACGGGCGGAGGCGGCGUGGCGCAGGCACCCGCCCGGGAGGUCCUGGUCCUUGCAGCCCGCGGCCGCGUUCUUGGCCCUCCUCCAGGGGAACCUCGAUUUUCCAAACUCGGGAAGGCCGGCUGUCCUUCGGCUACUGAUUAGGACGCGAGCGCCUGGUAAAAGAUUUUAACAAUGCCCGGAAAGAAAUAGCCGGACCCAGGAAAGACUAAUAAUAGCCGCCAGCUAGAGUUCUGCUCGUGCGCUCAGCGGUCUUAAGAACAAUAAUAACGACAACCACAAUAGCCACCAUUUAUUGAGCGCUUACUCUGUGCCAGGCACUGUGUUCAGCGCUUUGCAGGCAACAACCCUCGGAGGUAAGGUCACAAGACUGGUAAGUAGCAAUGCUGGGAAUCUACCAGGAGUAUCUGACUUUAAAGUGAUGUUCCCAUCACCCAUCAUGCAGAAUGUACAAGGUGAUACAGCUGAACAAAAGAGGUAAGAUACAAACCAUGCAAAAACAAACCAAAAUCUAUUCUAAGACUGCUCAAAAAUACCACAUGUGUAGCAAAGGCUUCAAUAGCUUUCUGAGACCCAGUCUGAGACUCAAUUGUCUAAAAUAGGAAAACAAAUCCUCAAGGUGCAACCAGAGGAGAAUAGGAAUGAGGCGUUCAGCUUUCCCUUGGAAGAGCAUCUGGAGAGGCCCACUCACUUUCUAUGUCUGGGCUCUGAGGAAAUAAAGGUGGUUCUAGGAAAAUCUGAAAAGUAUGAGAGGGAAAAAAAAAAUCCCUUCUGUGGUUUUUACUUUAACCAAGACUCAUUUUGCUAUUUGUGUUUUAUUUUUAAACUAAUGUGGCUCUCUCCACCCUUUAAAUUGGCACAUAAAUAGCAAAAACAGAAGGAAGGCCAGCUACAAACUUCAAAUGUGGUGGGUUUCUCAGGGAGGAGGUACCUGACUUGAAGUGAAAAUGAGGAUUAAAUGAGGUGCCUUAAACAUUUCAAAGACAGACUUUCCACAAGGAAUUUAGAUCAUAAGCCUUUAGAACAGAAGUUUUGUCUGAGUUUAGGCUGGGUAUAGUGUUGAGAAUUUAUGAGUGCCCCCAGAAUGUGGAAAACGAAUCACAUUUUUAGUGUCUGUCUCCAUCAUCUAGUCAUCUGGGCCACCACUUUGCUUAUGGCUUUAAAGGAUGGCUUCUGGGGGAUUUUCCUGUCCUCUGGAUCUCAGUCACACACCCUCCCUCAGACCCCUUACUUUUCCAGAAGUUUGCUCCGGGAAUUCUGUUGAGGUGAAGCAAUGAUCGAUGAUGUCGCUAGGCUUGGUUGAAGAGAUUGACUGGCCAGCUCUGGAACCACUAACUGGAGGUUUUCCAAACUGGGAAACCAAAGCAGAAGGAACUUCUUGAGACUUGUCACUUAACAGUUGUGACUCUCUCACCAUACGUCUUUGAACUACAAGGAUUCCCCUCUUACCCAACACCAGACAGUCCUGAACAUCCCAGGCUGCUUCUUGCAAAAUUCUUAGACCUCUUUGACCUUUCCUUUCUCUGCUGCUUCCCUCAUUCUUUCAGUGCAUUCAUUCUACAAACAUGUAUUGAGGGCCCACGAUGUGUAGAUC